AUUGAACGCUGGCGGCAGGCCUAACACAUGCAAGUCGAACGGUAACAGGAAGCAGCUUGCUGCUUUGCUGACGAGUGGCGGACGGGUGAGUAAUGUCUGGGAAACUGCCUGAUGGAGGGGGAUAACUACUGGAAACGGUAGCUAAUACCGCAUAACGUCGCAAGACCAAAGAGGGGGACCUUCGGGCCUCUUGCCAUCGGAUGUGCCCAGAUGGGAUUAGCUUGUAGGUGGGGUAACGGCUCACCUAGGCGACGAUCCCUAGCUGGUCUGAGAGGAUGACCAGCCACACUGGAACUGAGACACGGUCCAGACUCCUACGGGAGGCAGCAGUGGGGAAUAUUGCACAAUGGGCGCAAGCCUGAUGCAGCCAUGCCGCGUGUAUGAAGAAGGCCUUCGGGUUGUAAAGUACUUUCAGCGGGGAGGAAGGGAGUAAAGUUAAUACCUUUGCUCAUUGACGUUACCCGCAGAAGAAGCACCGGCUAACUCCGUG
This 490-nucleotide ribosomal RNA is filed under the name uncultured bacterium. RNAcentral describes it as "partial 16S ribosomal RNA". It matches the Rfam family "Bacterial small subunit ribosomal RNA", at positions 30 to 507 of the family's 1533-position model. The record is from RNAcentral.